GACGAACGCUGGCGGCGUGCCUAACACAUGCAAGUCGAGGGGUAGCAAUACCACUGGCGCACGGGUGAGUAACGCGUAGAUCAUCUGCCCCUAUCACAGACAUAACGUCGGGAAACUGACGCUAAUAGCUGAUGAGGCAAUUUAUUGUCAAAGGAGUGAUCCGGAUAGGGAUGAGUCUGCGUCUGAUUAGCUUGUUGGUAGUGUAACGGACUACCAAGGCGAUGAUCAGUAACUGGUCUGAGAGGACGAUCAGUCACACUGGAACUGAGACACGGUCCAGACUCCUACGGGAGGCAGCAGUGAGGAAUAUUGGUCAAUGGGGGGCAACCCUGAACCAGCGACGCCGCGUGAAGGAUGACAGGGCUUUGCCCCGUAAACUUCUGUCGGGAGGGAAAAAGGACUGUUUGGCGGUCUGGGAUUGUACCUCUAAAGGAAGCACCGGCUAACUACGUGCCAGCAGCCGCGGUAAU
This 470-nucleotide ribosomal RNA is filed under the name uncultured bacterium. RNAcentral's name for it is "bacterial SSU rRNA". It matches the Rfam family "Bacterial small subunit ribosomal RNA", at positions 28 to 524 of the family's 1533-position model. The record is from RNAcentral.